UGGGGAAUCUUGCGCAAUGGGCGAAAGCCUGACGCGGCAACGCCGCGUGCGGGACGACGGCCUUCGGGUUGUAAACCGCUUUCAGCAGGAACGAUGAUGACGGUACCUGCAGAAGAAGCUCCGGCCAACUACGUGCCAGCAGCCGCGGUAAUACGUAGGGAGCAAGCGUUGUCCGGAUUUAUUGGGCGUAAAGAGCUCGUAGGCGGUUCGGUAAGUCGGGUGUGAAAACCCCAGGCUCAACCUGGGGACGCCACUCGAUACUGCUGUGACUUGAGUCUGGUAGGGGAGCACGGAAUUCCUGGUGUAGCGGUGAAAUGCACAGAUAUCAGGAGGAACACCGGUGGCGAAGGCGGUGCUCUGGGCCAGUACUGACGCUGAGGAGCGAAAGCGUGGGGAGCGAACAGG
Molecule: ribosomal RNA, 405 nt
Filed under: uncultured bacterium
Lineage: Bacteria
Description: bacterial SSU rRNA
Rfam family: Bacterial small subunit ribosomal RNA
Source: RNAcentral